This is an RNA transcript of Gavia stellata (red-throated loon), 121 nucleotides long. RefSeq lists it as uncharacterized. The transcript is spliced from 3 exons. The record is from RefSeq and is a predicted model, not a curated record. NCBI's taxonomy places the organism in Eukaryota, Metazoa, Chordata, Aves, Gaviiformes, Gaviidae.
GAUAUACCAGAGGAAAUUAAGGUCAGAUCAGUAAAUGUUACGGAUUCUAAGCAAGAAGAGGCUGCACCUCCAUGUACUAAUUCCAGUCAUAAAUAUGACAAAGGAAAUAUUUCACAAGGUG